Nothoprocta perdicaria is the source of this 315-nucleotide long non-coding RNA. RefSeq lists it as uncharacterized. The transcript has 2 exons. Lineage: Eukaryota; Metazoa; Chordata; Aves; Tinamiformes; Tinamidae. The record is from RefSeq and is a predicted model, not a curated record.
CUGUGGAUUUGAAAGAGUUGCCCUAGCAGUCUGCUGGGCAAAAAAUCUUCUGGAUUUUCUGUUAUUUUCUGUUUUAGCAAGCUGUUGUUUUGGACGAGGGAGAAGUUAAAAAGCAUUCUCCUGGAUUUUGUAAAUUUGGGAGUAUUUACACACCACAGUGAAUUCUAGAGAUCUUCGAUACAGUGCGUGUUGCACUCUGCAAUCCUCAUCCAAAUUUCUGCCGUUACCAAGGACGUCUGGACCCCUGAAAUACUUGCAGAUUAAUAACACAACACCUGAAAGCUUUUCUACUGAAAACGUCAAAAUUUGCACUCC